GUUUUAAUAAUUUAAAAUAAAAAUAUUGAUUUUGUAAAUCAAAAAUAAGGCUAUCUUUUAAAACU
This 65-nucleotide transfer RNA is filed under the name Stenopsyche angustata. Its description in RNAcentral is "tRNA-Thr". The record is from RNAcentral. Lineage: Eukaryota; Metazoa; Arthropoda; Insecta; Trichoptera; Stenopsychidae.